ACUCCUACGGGAGGCAGCAGUGGGGAAUAUUGCACAAUGGGCGCAAGCCUGAUGCAGCAACGCCGCGUGAGCGAUGAAGGCCUUCGGGUCGUAAAGCUCUGUCCUCAAGGAAGAAUAAAUGACGGUACUUGAGGAGGAAGCCCCGGCUAACUACGUGCCAGCAGCCGCGGUAAUACGUAGGGGCAAGCGUUAUCCGGAAUCACUGGGCGUAAAGGGUGCGUAGGCGGUUUUUCAAGUCAGGAGUGAAAGGCUAUGGCUCAACCAUAGUAAGCUCUUGAAACUGUUAAACUUGAGUGCAGGAGAGGAAAGUGGAAUUCCUAGUGUAGAGGUGAAAUUCGUAGAUAUUAGGAGGAACACCAGUGGCGAAGGCGACUUUCUGGACUGUAACUGACGCUGAGGCACGAAAGCGUGGGGAGCGAACAGGAUUAGAUACCCUGGUAGCUCGAUG
RNAcentral lists this ribosomal RNA (448 nucleotides) under uncultured bacterium. Its description in RNAcentral is "bacterial SSU rRNA". It matches the Rfam family "Bacterial small subunit ribosomal RNA", at positions 335 to 799 of the family's 1533-position model. The record is from RNAcentral.